GAAGAAGCAAAAUGAUGAGUAAUACUUACAUGAGCCAAAGUGAGUGAGCUCUGUGUGUUUGUGUGUGUGUGUGUUUGUGUGAUGGCUGAUUGUGAGACUUGUGUGCCUUAUAAUUGGGCAGUGAUAGCUAAACUGAUAAGAUCUGAUUGCUUC
This 153-nucleotide small nucleolar RNA is filed under the name Amazona aestiva (blue-fronted amazon). RNAcentral describes it as "Small nucleolar RNA ZL1". It matches the Rfam family "Small nucleolar RNA ZL1". Rfam says of the family: Host gene TRRAP. Predicted target U2@U47. The record is from Rfam by way of RNAcentral. Lineage: Eukaryota; Metazoa; Chordata; Aves; Psittaciformes; Psittacidae. RNAcentral also lists the same sequence under 1 other name.